CCUACGGGUGGCAGCAGUGGGGAAUAUUGGGCAAUGGGCGCAAGCCUGACCCAGCAACGCCGCGUGAAGGUAGAUGGCUUUCGGGUGGUAAACUUCUUUUGACAGGGAGGAGCAGAGGACAGUACCUGUCGAAUAAGCCACGGCUAACUACGUGCCAGCAGCCGCGGUAAUACGUAGGUGGCAGUCGUUGUCCGGAUUUACUGGGUGUACGGGGCGUGUAGCCGGGCUGACAAGUCAGAUGUGAAUGCCGGGGGUUCAUCGCCCGAACUGCAUUUGAAACUGUUGGUCUUGAGUAUCGGAGAGGUAGGCGGAAUGCCUAGUGUAGCGGUGAAAUGCGUAGAUAUUAGGAGGAACACCAGUGGCGAAGGCGGCCUGCUGGACGACAAUUGACGGUGAGGCGCGAAAGCGUGGGGAGCAAACAGGAUUAGAUACCCGAGUAGUC
RNAcentral lists this ribosomal RNA (442 nucleotides) under uncultured bacterium. RNAcentral's name for it is "partial 16S ribosomal RNA". It matches the Rfam family "Bacterial small subunit ribosomal RNA", at positions 338 to 795 of the family's 1533-position model. The record is from RNAcentral.